RNAcentral lists this ribosomal RNA (551 nucleotides) under uncultured Lysobacteraceae bacterium. Its description in RNAcentral is "bacterial SSU rRNA". It matches the Rfam family "Bacterial small subunit ribosomal RNA", at positions 355 to 897 of the family's 1533-position model. The record is from RNAcentral. Lineage: Bacteria; Pseudomonadati; Pseudomonadota; Gammaproteobacteria; Lysobacterales; Lysobacteraceae.
UGGGGAAUAUUGGACAAUGGGCGCAAGCCUGAUCCAGCCAUGCCGCGUGGGUGAAGAAGGCCUUCGGGUUGUAAAGCCCUUUUGUCCGGAAAGAAAAGCUUCGGGCUAAUACCCCGGGGUCCUGACGGUACCGGAAGAAUAAGCACCGGCUAACUUCGUGCCAGCAGCCGCGGUAAUACGAAGGGUGCAAGCGUUACUCGGAAUUACUGGGCGUAAAGCGUGCGUAGGUGGUUUGUUAAGUCUGAUGUGAAAGCCCUGGGCUCAACCUGGGAAUUGCAUUGGAUACUGGCAGGCUAGAGUGCGGUAGAGGAUGGCGGAAUUCCCGGUGUAGCAGUGAAAUGCGUAGAGAUCGGGAGGAACAUCUGUGGCGAAGGCGGCCAUCUGGACCAGCGCUGACACUGAGGCACGAAAGCGUGGGGAGCAAACAGGAUUAGAUACCCUGGUAGUCCACGCCCUAAACGAUGCGAACUGGAUGUUGGGAGCAACUAGGCUCUCAGUAUCGAAGCUAACGCGUUAAGUUCGCCGCCUGGGGAGUACGGUCGCAAGACUGC